This 253-nucleotide ribosomal RNA is filed under the name uncultured bacterium. Its description in RNAcentral is "partial 16S ribosomal RNA". It matches the Rfam family "Bacterial small subunit ribosomal RNA", at positions 524 to 776 of the family's 1533-position model. The record is from RNAcentral.
UACGUAGGGGGCGAGCGUUGUCCGGAAUCAUUGGGCGUAAAGCGCGUGUAGGCGGUCCGAUAAGUUCGCUGUGAAAGUCCAGGGCUCAACCCUGGGAUGCCGGUGGAUACUGCUGAACUAGAGUGCGGAAGAGGCGAGUGGAAUUCCCGGUGUAGCGGUGAAAUGCGCAGAUAUCGGGAGGAACACCAAUUGCGAAGGCAGCUCGCUGGGACGUUACUGACGCUGAGACGCGAAAGCGUGGGGAGCAAACAGG